Molecule: long non-coding RNA, 1898 nt
Organism: Symphalangus syndactylus (siamang)
Lineage: Eukaryota; Metazoa; Chordata; Mammalia; Primates; Hylobatidae
Source: RefSeq, a predicted model, not a curated record
AGCUGCUGACCCAUGAGGCUCAGACUCCAGCCUGAAGCCCCUCUGGCCCAGGGAGUGACUGCAAAGUCAGCAGCACAUGGGCCAGGGCUGGCCAGCCUCUCAGCUCCGCGCACCCAGACGGAAGCAUCCACAUCUGCACUCUUCAUAGCAGAGACCUCUCCCUGUUCAGGUUCUGCAAACAGAAGAGAUGCCCAGAAAUAGGUAAAGACACUGAGGCUGCAGAAAAGCUGUUUCUGUGGAGGACUGGACACCAGGUUGCAGGGGGUUGAGGAAGGAGAAGGCAGUGAAGGAGCUGAACUUUACAAACAUACCUUGAAAACAUUAGGGACUUGGUUCCAGACCACCACAAUAAAUAUCUUCACCAGGAGCAGAUUCCAUCUCAAGAAACCACUUUCAUUGUUCAUGCAUAAGAAGCAAUUCUUCAUUUGUUCAAGAUUGAUCAUGAGAUUGCAGCAAUUCAGUCACAUCUUCAGGCUCCACUUCUAAUUCUAGUUUGCUUGCUGUUUCCACCACAUCUGCAGUGACUUCCUCCACUCAAGUCUUGAGCCCUUCAGAGUCAUCCAAGAGGGUUGGAAUCAACUUCUUCCAAACUCCUGUUAAGGCCGUUACUUUUGGAUCAUCGUGGUUCCAUCAAGCCUAGGAUUUUUCAAUUUUAUCUAGGACAGAUAGCUUUCACUCCAGAUAAACCCUACUACUAAGACAUGACCCCUUACGAGGUCUUCACAAAAUGCCUGGAGGGAUCAUUGAAGAAUCCUCUGUGGUGGUCAGAGCUUGAACUUUUCUCCACCUUCUGAGACCUCCAGUAAUUAUUCAACUUACAACUCCCUAUCACUUUUUGCCCAACCUUCUAGAAUUUCAUUCUAAGGAUGUGUCCCCCUUUUCACAGGAUGUGUCCUCUGAAUUCCAUUCUAAGGAUUUAGUCCUCAGCAAAGACUCAAGGGGACCCUUUUGCAGAUUUCUGGAGCUCUUUUCUCCAUAGCUCCCACCUGUGUCUCCCCUACAACUUUCAGCUGUCUGAACCUCCCUAAACUCUGAUGUCCACUGUAACUCAGGAAGGUCACCAGGCUUUCUGAGUUCUCCCUUUGUUUGGAGCUGAAAAUUACUUCCAUGCAGAAAGUUGAGGCAACCAUUAAGUAUCACCUCAUUUGUUUCCCUUCUGUCUGGGAUCACCGUCCUGCAGUUUGUUGUUCCAUGUCUGGGUGCAGUCAUUUCAUAUAUCCUCCAGUUUGCUUAUGGAGGAAAAUUUCUAAGGAUCAAGAAUUUGGAGUAACCAACUGAAUGGUUCUGGUUCAAAGUCUCUCAAGAGGUUACUGUCAAGCUGCUGGCCCAGGGAUGGCUUGACUGGAGUAGCAUUCAUUUCCAAGCUCAUUCACACAGACAUUGGCAGACCUCAGUUUCUUGCUGACUGCUGAUUGGAGACUUCAGUUCUUUACCAUAUGGGCCUCUCCACAGGAUUCCUGAGCAUCAUCAAAACAUGACAGCUGCCUUCUCGCAAAACAAGAGACCUGAGAGAGUGCAUGAGGGUGACCAAAACUUAAGUUGCAAUCUCUUCAUGACCUAAUCUUGGCAGGGACAUACCAUCACUCCUGCCAUAUGCUACUGGCCACACAGAUCAGCCCUGCUGUAACAAGGCGGGGACUGUACAAAGGUGUGACUUCCCAUUGGUGAAGAUCCAAUUUGGAGGCCAACCUGGAGGCUCCCUUCCACAGUGAAAGUAUGCAAGAGCAGCAAUUUGUCCCCCUUAUUCCUGUCUGCCUGCCUGCUGGUUGUACUGUUGAGUGUCCGCAAGAGCUUUCCUUAAUGGGACCCUACUUAUCAUCACAGAAGCCAAGAUUUUCCAUCCAAAGUGCUAUAUUAACAACUUAAUAAAUGUUGUUCAAUUCUUUAAGUCUGUGAGA